UACGUAGGUGGCAAGCGUUGUCCGGAUUUAUUGGGUUUAAAGGGUGCGUAGGUGGUCUAUUAAGUCAGUGCUGAAAUAUCCCGGCUUAACCGGGAGGGUGGCAUUGAUACUGAUGGACUUGAGUAAAGUUGAGGUGGGCGGAAUUGACGGUGUAGCGGUGAAAUGCUUAGAUAUCGUCAAGAACACCUAUUGCGAAGGCAGUUCACUAAGCUUUAACUGACACUGAGGCACGAAAGUGUGGGGAUCAAACAGG
RNAcentral lists this ribosomal RNA (253 nucleotides) under uncultured bacterium. RNAcentral describes it as "partial 16S ribosomal RNA". It matches the Rfam family "Bacterial small subunit ribosomal RNA", at positions 524 to 776 of the family's 1533-position model. The record is from RNAcentral.